AUGAAUGAUCUAAGAGUUUUACAUAUAACUCUCCAUUAUGUUCUUCCUCCCUCCUCCCCUUCUCUCCUUCCUUCCCACUCUGCGUUCAUCCUGACUUUCUUUCCUCCCUCUCCUUCCUUUCCUUUUCUUCCUUCCUCCUUCCCUUUCUUCCCUUCCUUUCCUUUCCUUUCUCUUCCUUUCCUUUCCUUUUUCCUUUCCCUUCCUUUCCUUUUCUUUCCCUUCCCUUUCUCUUUGUUUCCCUCCCUUCCCUUCCUUUCCUUUCCCUUACCUUUCUCUUCCUUUCCCUUCUCUUCCUUUCCUUUCCCUUCCCUUCCUGUCCAUUCCUUCCCUUCCCUUCCCUUCCCUUCCCUUCCUUUCCUUUCCCUUCCCUUCCUUUCCAUUCCUUCCCUUCCUUUCCUUUCCCUUCUCUUCCUUUCCUUUCCCUUCUUUUCCUUUCCUUUCCCUUCUCUUCCUUUUCUUUCCCUUCUCUUCCUUUCCUUUCCCUUCCUUUCCUUUCCUUUUUCCUUUCCCUUCCCUUCCUUUUUUUUCUUUUCCCUUCUCUUCUCUUCCUUUCCUUUCCCUUCCCUUUCUUUGUUUCCCUCCCUUCCCUUCCUUUCCUUUCCCUUACCUUUCUCUUCUUUUCCCUUCCCUUCCUUUCCCUUCUCUUCCUUUCCUUUCCCUUCUCUUCCUUUCCUUUCCCUUCCCUUCCUUUCCAUUCCUUCCCUUCCCUUCCCUUCCUUUCCUUUCCUUUCCCUUCCCUUCCUUUCCAUUCCUUCCCUUCCUUUCCUUUCCCUUCUCUUCCUUUCCUUUCCCUUCUCUUCCUUUCCUUUCCCUUCCCUUCCUUUCCAUUCCUUCCCUUCCCUUCCCUUCCUUUCCUUUCCCUUCCCUUCCUUUCCAUUCCUUCCCUUCCUUCCCUUCCCUUCCUUUCCUUUCCUUUCCCUUCUCUUCCUUUCCUUUCCCUUCCCUUCCUUUCCAUUCCUUCCCUUCCCUUCCUUUCCUUUCCUUUCCCUUCCUUUCCUUUCCUUUCCCUUCCUUUCCUUUCCCUUCCCUUCCUUUCCUUUCCUUUCCCUUCCUUUCCUUUCCCUUCCCUUCCUUUCCUUUCCUUUCCCUUCCUUUCCUUUCCCUUCCCUUCCUUUCCAUUCCUUCACUUCCUUUCCUUUCCCUUCUCUUCCUUUCCUUUCCCUUCCCUUCCUUUCCAUUCCUUCCCUUCCUUUCCUUUCCUCUCUCUUCCUUUCCUUUCCUUUCUCUUCCUUUCCUUUCCCUUCUCUUCCUUUCCUUUCCCUUCUCUUCCUUUCCUUUCCCUUCCCUUCCUGUCCAUUCCUUCCCUGCCUUUCCUUCCCUUCCCUUCCCUUCUUUCCUUCCGUGUUUCCUUCCAGUACAACAGGACCCAGUCACCCGAUUCCCCAGCAUCAGCAGAAGACACAUGUCUCUGACCCCCACAGUGAGGUGGAAGGGGAACGGGGGCCUAGCCUGUGGGGGCUGUAG
Molecule: long non-coding RNA, 1464 nt
Filed under: Zalophus californianus (California sea lion)
Lineage: Eukaryota; Metazoa; Chordata; Mammalia; Carnivora; Otariidae
Description: lncRNA (ENSZCAG00015018069.1)
Source: RNAcentral